RNAcentral lists this non-coding RNA (27 nucleotides) under Homo sapiens (human). Lineage: Eukaryota; Metazoa; Chordata; Mammalia; Primates; Hominidae. The record is from RNAcentral.
ACAAGAGGAGGGGUCUGCGUGACCAAA